UCCGGUUUGGCACCGGCAGUCUCCCUAGAGUUCCCGGCAUCACCCGCUGGCAACUAAGGACAGGGGUUGCGCUCGUUGCGCCACUUAAGGCAACACCUCACGACACGAGCUGACGACAGCCAUGCAGCACCUGAACCGGCAGUCCCCGAAGGGAAAAUCCUAUUUCUAGGACGGUCCGCCGUUGUCUAGCCCAGGUAAGGUUCUUCGCGUUGCGUCGAAUUAAACCACAUGCUCCGCUGCUUGUGCGGGCCCCCGUCAAUUCCUUUGAGUUUUAGCCUUGCGGCCGUACUCCCCAGGCGGAAUGCUUAAAGCGUUAGCUGCGCCACUGAGCAGCAAGCUGCCCAACGGCUGGCAUUCAUCGUUUACGGCGUGGACUAC
RNAcentral lists this unclassified non-coding RNA (378 nucleotides) under uncultured bacterium. RNAcentral's name for it is "contains 16S-23S intergenic spacer region". The record is from RNAcentral.